GGUGGAAUCCCCUGCAAUCAAAAUCAGAUGCAAAGUCUGGCUUCCGUAGGAGUCUGGACAAGGCUUACCGGCAGCUGACGUCGAGGGCGGAGCCCGGCUCCCAUCGGAGUCCGGGCGGAGUCCACUUGCGGUUGAAGUUGUUGACGGAGUCCGUAUCCCGUAGGAGUCUGGACGAAGUCUGCUUGUAGCUGUUGGAGUUGAGGAUGAAACCCGGCUCUCGUAGGAGUUCGGGCGGAGUCUCCCUGCAAUCAAAGUUAAAGGCGAAGAUCGGCUCCCGUAGGAGUCCUGACAGCUUACCAGCAGUUGACGUUGAGGAUGGAGCCCGGCUCCCAUAGGAGUCCGGGCGGAGUCCACUUGCGGUUGAAGUUGUGGAUGGAGUCCGGACGAUGUCUGCUUGUAGCUGUUGGAG
This 409-nucleotide long non-coding RNA is filed under the name Elaeis guineensis (African oil palm). RNAcentral's name for it is "long non-coding RNA (EGUI_LNC079852)". The record is from RNAcentral. Lineage: Eukaryota; Viridiplantae; Streptophyta; Magnoliopsida; Arecales; Arecaceae.